AGGGGCCGCCGCCGGGCUGCUGGGGCCCAGAGGGAAACCUGCUCCCUUGCAUCAGCCGGGCGCCCGCCGGGAAGCGCCUCCGGGCCCGCCGACCGCGUGCGCGCCUCUCCCGAGCCUCCACACCUGGGGUCUCCCCCCGGUCUAACGCAGGCGGGGCACCUGGCGGAUGAGGCGGUCUAGGGACCAGAAACUUCUCGAGGGCUUGCUCUCGAAUGAAAAAUCCUAAGCGCAUCACGAUGAAGAGCAUCUGCCGGGGGUUCAGGCUGCCUGAGCUCCAAGCCAAUUCCGCCCGCUUUCUAGAUCCUCCCCGGCCAAGCAGCUCGCCUCGCGAUGUCUUCGUGUUGUGGACACAACAGACCAUUUCACGGGCCUGUGUAAAGCUCUCAUGAGACAGUCUGUAUGCAGCGUUCACAGCCCCAGUCACAGGAGAGCUGCUCCCUCGGCGCUGGCUGCCGCCCCCACCUGUACCACUCGGGACUCUGAGAGGUCUGCAGCGAGAGGUGCCCUCCCGCCAGCCGCGCCCCGGGAAAGCACUGACCUUGCGUAUUACUCCAUAGAGAGUUCCCUGGCAUCACCUCGUGACGGAACACUCGGCUCUGCCUCCCUUCUCGGGGGCCCAUAAACCUCCAAAUAUUGUAGGAAGGCUCCCUCUUUCCCGGAGGACACAUGGGGGUUCCCGCUGGCUCCCUGGCCUUGCUAGGAUGGUCACCACAGGGUUGCGGACUUGUCACAGCCUGCAUUUCUACAAGUGGACUUGCUGAGUCAGAAUGGGUGAAUUUUUAAUUUCAACAGAUGUUGCCAAAUUGCUGGGGGCCUCUGAGGCCACAAGACUUAGUUGGCUGUGGCCCGGCCAGAGGCAGAGGUGAAGUGCUUGGGGCCAGAGAGCAGGGAUUGAGGAAGAGCCGCAGAUGCUGUGCAGGUGUCCUCAGUCCCCAGGCAAGUGAGGAUCCAGUCAGUAGGUGGCUAGAGAUGAAGUUCAUUCGUUUAUUCGGCAACAGAGGACCCUGGGUGUCUGUUCAGUGGCGGGCAUUGUACCAGGCAGCAGCGAACACGGUACACAAGAUUCCUACUUAGGUGGCCUAAUUUCCUAAAACACGAUUUGGGGGUAUGGGAGUGAAAGCCCGUGGGAUAUUGGAGCUUUCCUAACUGCUGAUGCAACCUUGAAAGGGGUCUUAUGACAGGUGUGUGGCCCAGUCAGCACCCACCCAAAUCCUGCCUCUCCAGCAAGGCCCACCUCCUCCCCAAGGCCAGAUAGCAUACUCUUGCCUCUUCUGCCAGGUGACCUUGACUCCGCAUUCUCACUGUACGUCACUCUAGCAUGAACGCCCAUGUGGACCCAUCUGUCUCCUGUGCUGGGGAGGCACAGCAGACGUGGGCCUUUGGAACUGGCUUUCCAGGCUCCGGCACUAACUGACACAUGAAUGUGCACAGGCGGGCUCACCCCUCCCAGCUUUGGUUCCCUCCUUUCUGGAAGGGGAACGGUAUCUGCCCAGCUGAGAGAUGGUAAGACUUAGAAGAUGCAGCGCCUACGGGGAAGGCUUCAGUGGACGUGAGCGGCAUCCUUGGCCAGCCAGGCAAAGCGCCUCUCGCCUUUCUGGAACGUCAGCAUGCAGUGAGUCCUGGCACCAGGGCACCAGGCAGUAGGGGCCCUACACGAAGAGAGAGAGGUGAAGAAAAUCCAGGCAAAGUUCUCACGGUUGCCAUUCCUCUCCAUCUGGAAAGUAGCCCCAAACCCCGUUCCACCUCAACACCUGACUGAUGGACCCAUUCUCAGGUCUCAGACACACCGAGCAUGUAAUGUGGUCAUUGUUCAACGUCCCCUUCCCCAGAAAGAAGAAACCUUUGGUGCCUACGGUCCCAGCUGUCCCCCGGCCCCCUGCCCUCAGGAUGUGCCACGGGCAUCUGAAAUAGUGAAUGGAAUCAUCAGGCCUUCAGCUACAGGUAAAUCCAAGUAACCACAAGCUCCAGCCAGAGCCACCAUUACUCAGCAGUUGCAACAUCUGUUCUGUCGUGUUUGCAAGGGUUACAGAUGCAGGUCUGAGGGCUGGCUACCAACUCCCUGCCGCCCUGAAAUGAGAAGGAAUGCGGCUCUUCCCCACCUGACGGAGUCCUCAGGUGUGGCAGCAGAUGGGGCAUGGGGGGCCUCAGAACCGCUGGGUGAGUGAGUAAAAAAAAACAAAGCACAGGAAUUAGAUCUUAGGCUGCAUGUUCUAGAUUCACCAACUUCCUGACUCUUAGAAACAUACCACUUAAGAUGUUGCCGUGGCCUGAAUAGUUUGAACAACAUCACACAGAGAUUCAGGUCGGGAAGCCAGGCAGACCCAGGUUCAAAUCCAGGCUGUGCCACUAAUUGGCUCCGUGACCUUGGGAAAGUGAUUUUACCGCUUCGCACCUCAGUUUCCUAAUGUGUAAAGGGGAAUCAUACCUACCUCAGAGAGACGGUGGGAAAAUUCAAAGUGUAUAUAAAAUGCCUGGAAUGCUUGCUGAUAUAAAACUGAUGUUAGUAAAUGCAAACUAUUUUUAAAAUUAUUUCCA
Long non-coding RNA from Mustela erminea (ermine), 2535 nucleotides. RefSeq lists it as uncharacterized. NCBI's taxonomy places the organism in Eukaryota, Metazoa, Chordata, Mammalia, Carnivora, Mustelidae. The record is from RefSeq and is a predicted model, not a curated record. The transcript is spliced from 3 exons.